This 225-nucleotide unclassified non-coding RNA is filed under the name uncultured Acidobacteriota bacterium. Its description in RNAcentral is "uncultured Acidobacteria bacterium contains 16S-23S intergenic spacer region". It matches the Rfam family "Bacterial small subunit ribosomal RNA", at positions 976 to 1198 of the family's 1533-position model. Lineage: Bacteria; Pseudomonadati; Acidobacteriota. The record is from RNAcentral.
UGGGCUAGAAUGCCUCUGACAACCCUAGAGAUAGGGCUUCCUAGGGAAACCUAGGCAGAGUGCAAGGUGCUGCAUGGCUGUCGUCAGCUCGUGUCGUGAGAUGUUGGGUUAAGUCCCGCAACGAGCGCAACCCUUAUCGAUAGUUGCUAGCGGUUCGGCCGAGCACUCUAUUGAGACUGCCGUUGACAAAACGGAGGAAGGUGGGGAUGACGUCAGUGCUUGCCU